GUGAGGAAUAUUGGUCAAUGGACGGAAGUCUGAACCAGCCAAGUAGCGUGCAGGAUGACGGCCCUAUGGGUUGUAAACUGCUUUUAUGCGGGGGUAAAGUGAGUGACGUGUCAUUCAUUGCAAGUACCGCAAGAAUAAGGACCGGCUAAUUCCGUGCCAGCAGCCGCGGUAAUACGGAAGGUCCUGGUGUUAUCCGGAUUUAUUGGGUUUAAAGGGAGCGUAGGCCGUCAGGCAAGCGUGUUGUGAAAUGUCGUGGCUCAACCAUGGACUUGCAGCGCGAACUGCCCGACUUGAGUGCGCAGAAAGCAGGCGGAAUUUGUGGUGUAGCGGUGAAAUGCUUAGAUAUCACGAAGAACCCCGAUUGCGAAGGCAGCCUGCUGUAGCGCUACUGACGCUGAAGCUCGAAAGUGCGGGUAUCGAACAGGAUUAGAAACCCGAGUAGUCC
This 445-nucleotide ribosomal RNA is filed under the name uncultured bacterium. Its description in RNAcentral is "partial 16S ribosomal RNA". It matches the Rfam family "Bacterial small subunit ribosomal RNA", at positions 354 to 796 of the family's 1533-position model. The record is from RNAcentral.